AUAAACUACCGGCCUUUUGGCUAAGAUCAAGUGUAGUAUCUGUUCUUAUCAAAUUGGAGAACUGCUUGUUUUUUUAUUCCGACUGGGGGAUCGUGUUUGCGAUAUAAUUCCUUUUGUGGCCGAUUGGCUCUGCUCUCAAAGUCAGUAAGGAAGCACAGAGCUGUUUUUACUGACUGUGAAUUCUUGAUUCUGA
Polypterus senegalus (gray bichir) is the source of this 193-nucleotide small nuclear RNA. RefSeq annotates it as U2 spliceosomal RNA. The record is from RefSeq and is a predicted model, not a curated record. The transcript has a single exon. Lineage: Eukaryota; Metazoa; Chordata; Cladistia; Polypteriformes; Polypteridae.